UACGAGUGCCCCGAGCGUUAUCCGGAAUCAUUGGGCGUAAAGGGUGUGUAGGUGGCAGUGUUAGUCGGUUGUUAAAACCUGGGGCUCAACCCCAGACAUGCGACCGAAACGGCACAGCUAGAGGAUGGCAGGGAUGUAUGGAACUCAUGGAGUAGGGGUGAAAUCCGUUGAUAUCAUGGGGAACACCAAAAGCGAAGGCAGUACAUUGGGCCACUCCUGACACUGAAACACGAAAGCGUGGGUAGCGAAUGGG
RNAcentral lists this ribosomal RNA (253 nucleotides) under uncultured bacterium. RNAcentral describes it as "partial 16S ribosomal RNA". It matches the Rfam family "Bacterial small subunit ribosomal RNA", at positions 524 to 776 of the family's 1533-position model. The record is from RNAcentral.